RNAcentral lists this ribosomal RNA (841 nucleotides) under Arcopilus aureus. RNAcentral describes it as "partial large subunit ribosomal RNA". It matches the Rfam family "Eukaryotic large subunit ribosomal RNA", at positions 68 to 942 of the family's 3401-position model. The record is from RNAcentral. Lineage: Eukaryota; Fungi; Ascomycota; Sordariomycetes; Sordariales; Chaetomiaceae.
ACAGGGAUUGCCCUAGUAACGGCGAGUGAAGCGGCAACAGCUCAAAUUUGAAAUCUGGCCUCGGCCCGAGUUGUAAUUUGCAGAGGAAGCUUUAGGCGCGGCACCUUCUGAGUCCCCUGGAACGGGGCGCCAUAGAGGGUGAGAGCCCCGUAUAGUUGGAUGCCUAGCCUGUGUAAAGCUCCUUCGACGAGUCGAGUAGUUUGGGAAUGCUGCUCAAAAUGGGAGGUAAAUUUCUUCUAAAGCUAAAUACCGGCCAGAGACCGAUAGCGCACAAGUAGAGUGAUCGAAAGAUGAAAAGCACUUUGAAAAGAGGGUUAAAUAGCACGUGAAAUUGUUGAAAGGGAAGCGCUUGUGACCAGACUUGCGCCGGGCUGAUCAUCCGGUGUUCUCACCGGUGCACUCUGCCCGGCUCAGGCCAGCAUCGGUUCUCGCGGGGGGAUAAAGGCCCAGGGAACGUAGCUCCUCCGGGAGUGUUAUAGCCCUGGGUGUAAUGCCCUCGCGGGGACCGAGGUUCGCGCAUCUGCAAGGAUGCUGGCGUAAUGGUCACCAGCGACCCGUCUUGAAACACGGACCAAGGAGUCAAGGUUUUGCGCGAGUGUUUGGGUGUAAAACCCGCACGCGUAAUGAAAGUGAACGUAGGUGAGAGCUUCGGCGCAUCAUCGACCGAUCCUGAUGUUUUCGGAUGGAUUUGAGUAGGAGCGUUAAGCCUUGGACCCGAAAGAUGGUGAACUAUGCUUGGAUAGGGUGAAGCCAGAGGAAACUCUGGUGGAGGCUCGCAGCGGUUCUGACGUGCAAAUCGAUCGUCAAAUCUGAGCAUGGGGGCGAAAGACUAAUCGAACCA